CUCUCCAUACUCCAACAAUCUAUGUCAUACAUUUUGGUUUUUGCCUACAAAUUUCAACAAACAUUUAACUUGCAACUUACCAUAUCAUUGACUAAAAUAUCCAAACAAAACUGAUAAUUCUUGUCCAAGCAGUCCAGCAGGCAGCAACAUUAACAAACUAGUCGAGUAUAAGAAUAAAAAGACUAUCAAGAGUCAAGACAACAACACUAGAAAAUUCAACAAACUUGUGCACAUCCCUAAAAUAGAG
This 247-nucleotide long non-coding RNA is filed under the name Solanum tuberosum (potato). RNAcentral's name for it is "long non-coding RNA (STUB_LNC007411)". Lineage: Eukaryota; Viridiplantae; Streptophyta; Magnoliopsida; Solanales; Solanaceae. The record is from RNAcentral.